This 495-nucleotide ribosomal RNA is filed under the name uncultured bacterium. RNAcentral's name for it is "partial 16S ribosomal RNA". It matches the Rfam family "Bacterial small subunit ribosomal RNA", at positions 28 to 507 of the family's 1533-position model. The record is from RNAcentral.
GACGAACGCUGGCGGCGUGCCUAAUACAUGCAAGUAGAACGCUGAAGGAGGAGCUUGCUCUUCUGGAUGAGUUGCGAACGGGUGAGUAACGCGUAGGUAACCUGCCUGGUAGCGGGGGAUAACUAUUGGAAACGAUAGCUAAUACCGCAUAAGAGUAGAUGUUGCAUGACAUUUACUUAAAAGGUGCAAUUGCAUCACUACCAGAUGGACCUGCGUUGUAUUAGCUAGUUGGUGGGGUAACGGCUUACCAAGGCGACGAUACAUAGCCGACCUGAGAGGGUGAUCGGCCACACUGGGACUGAGACACGGCCCAGACUCCUACGGGAGGCAGCAGUAGGGAAUCUUCGGCAAGGGACGGAAGUCUGACCGAGCAACGCCGCGUGAGUGAAGAAGGUUUUCGGAUCGUAAAGCUCUGUUGUAAGAGAAGAACGAGUGUGAGAGUGGAAAGUUCACACUGUGACGGUAGCUUACCAGAAAGGGACGGCUAACUACGUG